Molecule: long non-coding RNA, 404 nt
Filed under: Gossypium raimondii (Peruvian cotton)
Lineage: Eukaryota; Viridiplantae; Streptophyta; Magnoliopsida; Malvales; Malvaceae
Description: long non-coding RNA (GRAI_LNC005488)
Source: RNAcentral
CCCAUAUAGCCCAUAAUGUACAGCAAAACAUCCUACACUGAGAUUCCGAGUUCUUCACAAAAACUUCGGUGAGCCACUCUGCAAACUCCAUCUGUUGUUCGUGCAUCAAAACAUUACAUGGUAAUUCCUUCCAUACUAAUUUUGACUCAGGGCAUUCUCAGAAAAGGUGAUUCAUACUCUCUGAACCAACUCCACAUCGUGGACACACUGUAGUGUUUAUUAGCUUUUUCUGAAAUAGAUUAACUCGUGUAGCUAAAAAAUUCCACGAUAUCUUCCAGAUUGUAAUUUUGAUUUUUAAGGGAAGAUUUAGCAGCCAUAAUUUCCUGUAGAAUUCCUUGUAGCCUUCUUGUAAAGCAUAAGCUCUAGGGUCAUCCUCGAUAUUCUGUAAUAGUUUAUAGGAGCUC